RNAcentral lists this ribosomal RNA (598 nucleotides) under uncultured bacterium. RNAcentral describes it as "bacterial SSU rRNA". The stretch from base 1 to 526 matches the Rfam family "Bacterial small subunit ribosomal RNA", at positions 338 to 873 of the family's 1533-position model. The record is from RNAcentral.
CCUACGGGAGGCAGCAGUGGGGAAUAUUGGGCAAUGGAGGGAACUCUGACCCAGCGACGCCGCGUGUGGGAUGAAGGCCUUCGGGUUGUAAACCGCUUUCAGCAGGGAAGAAGCGAAAGUGACGGUACCUGCAGAAGAAGCACCGGCUAACUAUGUGCCAGCAGCCGCGGUAAUACAUAGGGUGCAAGCGUUGUCCGGAAUUAUUGGGCGUAAAGAGCUCGUAGGUGGUUCGUCACGUCGGAUGUGAAAAUCUGGGGCUUAACCCCAGACCUGCAUUCGAUACGGGCGAGCUAGAGUGUGGUAGGGGAGACUGGAAUUCCUGGUGUAGCGGUGGAAAUGCGCAGAUAUCAGGAGAACACCAAUGGCGAAGGCAGGUCUCUGGGCCAUUACUGACACUGAGGAGCGAAAAGCGUGGGGAGCGAACAGGAUUAGAUACCCUGGUAGUCCACGCCGUAAACGGUGGGCACUAGUUGUGGGAAACCUUCCACGGUUUCUGCGACGCAGCUAACGCAUUAAGUGCCCCGCCUGGGGAGUACGAGNGCAGAUAAAUAANAAAUUAGAAUAGUUAGNGNGNGAGNGCGAGAGACACGAGGAGAGG